CUGUGAUGAUGGCAUUUCUUAUGACAAUUUUGGAUUCAUUAUGAAAACAAGUACUCUCUGAGCAAU
Callithrix jacchus (white-tufted-ear marmoset) is the source of this 66-nucleotide small nucleolar RNA. Its record names the gene SNORD58. It matches the Rfam family "Small nucleolar RNA SNORD58". From Rfam's summary of the family: snoRNA U58 is found in introns 1, 3 and 6 of the ribosomal protein RPL17 gene in humans. NCBI's taxonomy places the organism in Eukaryota, Metazoa, Chordata, Mammalia, Primates, Cebidae. The record is from Ensembl.